Non-coding RNA from Armillaria borealis, 84 nucleotides. The record is from the annotation of a GenBank genome assembly. NCBI's taxonomy places the organism in Eukaryota, Fungi, Basidiomycota, Agaricomycetes, Agaricales, Physalacriaceae.
GGGCUCUUGGCACAGUUGGUAGCGCGCACGCUUUGCAUACUAGAUUGUCUGCGUGAGGUCGUGGGUUCAAUUCCACAGUGUCCA